AAAAAAAAAAACCAUGGUUUUCGUGCCCAACAUUUGACCGUCCGUCUUAUUUGAAAAAAUUAUGAAAAAAAUUAAAAAGACAAGUCACGCAUAAAAUAUUAAUCAUGUUUUAUCAUCUAACAACAAUGAAAAUACGAAUUAUAAAAAAAUUUCAUAUAAGAAAGAUAGUAAAAGUUGGACACGGAAACCUAGGAUUUGCAUGUUUC
Oryza glaberrima (African rice) is the source of this 206-nucleotide non-coding RNA. Lineage: Eukaryota; Viridiplantae; Streptophyta; Magnoliopsida; Poales; Poaceae. The record is from Rfam.